AAGACUUUAUGUUAAUAAAACAAAUAGCCUUCAAAGCUAUAAAUAAAAGUUCAACCCUUUUAAGUCUUA
This 69-nucleotide transfer RNA is filed under the name Ictinogomphus sp. MT-2014. RNAcentral's name for it is "tRNA-Trp". It matches the Rfam family "tRNA". Rfam says of the family: Transfer RNA (tRNA) molecules are approximately 80 nucleotides in length. The record is from RNAcentral. Lineage: Eukaryota; Metazoa; Arthropoda; Insecta; Odonata; Gomphidae.